AGCAGCCGCGGUAAUUCCAGCUCCAAUAGCGUAUAUUAAAGUUAGUUGCAGUUAAAAAGCUCGUAGUUGAAUUUCGGGAUCAAUUUAUUGGUCGUGCUAUUGUACGUACUGGUAUUAUUGAUUCCUACCUUCUGACGAACCAUGAUGUCAUUAAUUUGGUGUCUUGGGAAAUCAGGACUGUUACUUUGAAAAAUUGAGUGUUUAAAGCAGGCUCACGCUUGAAUACAUUAGCAAUGGAAUAAUGAAAUAGGACGUUUGAUUCUAUUUUGUUGGUUUCUAGGAUUGACGUAAUGAUUAAUAGGGAUAGUUGGGGGCAUUAGUAUUCAAUUGUCAGAGUG
This 338-nucleotide ribosomal RNA is filed under the name uncultured Glomus. RNAcentral describes it as "SSU rRNA". It matches the Rfam family "Eukaryotic small subunit ribosomal RNA", at positions 569 to 913 of the family's 1831-position model. The record is from RNAcentral. Lineage: Eukaryota; Fungi; Glomeromycota; Glomeromycetes; Glomerales; Glomeraceae.